RNAcentral lists this ribosomal RNA (305 nucleotides) under uncultured bacterium. Its description in RNAcentral is "partial 16S ribosomal RNA". It matches the Rfam family "Bacterial small subunit ribosomal RNA", at positions 505 to 809 of the family's 1533-position model. The record is from RNAcentral.
ACAGCAGUAGCCACGGUAAAACGUAGGUGGCAAGCGUUGUCCGGAAUUAUUGGGCGUAAAGGGCUCGCAGGCGGUUUCUUAAGUCUGAUGUGAGAGCCCCCGGCUCAACCGGGGAGGGUCAUUGGAAACUGGGAAACUUGAGUGCAGAAGAGGAGAGUGGAAUUCCACGUGUAGCGGUGAAAUGCGUAGAGAUGUGGAGGAACACCAGUGGCGAAGGCGACUCUCUGGUCUGUAACUGACGCUGAGGAGCGAAAGCGUGGGGAGCGAACAGGAUUAGAUACCCGUGUAGUCCCUGUCUCUUAUAU